AUGCCCGGCUGACAUCUAAA
Molecule: unclassified non-coding RNA, 20 nt
Filed under: Mus musculus (house mouse)
Lineage: Eukaryota; Metazoa; Chordata; Mammalia; Rodentia; Muridae
Description: oocyte_clustered_small_RNA4750
Source: RNAcentral